CGUCUAGGCGGGUCUGUAAGUCGGGUGUGAAAUCCCUGGGCUCAACCGAGGAAUGGCAUCCGAUACUGCAGGUCUUGAGUGUGGGAGGGGAGAGUGGAACUCCUGGUGGAGCGGUGAAAUGCUUUGAUAUCAGGAGGAACGCCAGUGGCGAAAGCGACUCUCUGGCCCAUGACUGACGCUGAAGCGCGAAAGCCAGGGGAGCGAACG
Molecule: ribosomal RNA, 207 nt
Filed under: uncultured bacterium
Lineage: Bacteria
Description: partial 16S ribosomal RNA
Rfam family: Bacterial small subunit ribosomal RNA
Source: RNAcentral